This 415-nucleotide long non-coding RNA is filed under the name Zea mays. RNAcentral describes it as "drought-responsive long non-coding RNA". Lineage: Eukaryota; Viridiplantae; Streptophyta; Magnoliopsida; Poales; Poaceae. The record is from RNAcentral.
GGGCUGGGUCUAAUAAACCCUAAUGGGCUGCGGCCUCGUAGAUAAACCAGCACUACUCAUCCGUCGCCCCACGGAAGUUUCGGCGGCGCCGGCGUGCUCGUGAUCUCGACCAAGGCGUGCCUCCGCUCCGGUCACCCGUCGCUCCACGCAACCAUGGUAAGCGAGCCUCUUCUCGUCUGGUUAUGGCUCGCAAGCGGACGUAGGUGCAAGCACGGUAGCGGUGGAUUCGGAUCUGGCUGCAAGCACGGUAGCGCUGGAUUCGAUUGUUUUUUUGUUUAGAGAUGGGUUAAGAGCGUAGGUUUGGCUGUUGACUAGGGCUACUGUUGUUUUGGCUGGUUGCCCGUGCUGGAUUGCAUCUGAUAAAUUGCAAUUUGACAUCACCUCUUUAAUACAAAAGAAAGAAUUGCUUUUUACG